UCAAGAACCUAUAACGUAAAACUUAAUGAAUAAUGAAUUUGUCAAAUAUGUUUCCUUUGUAACUCAAAACUUAUGAAUAAUGAAUUUGUCAAAUUCAUUUCCUUCGUAACUCAAAACUUUAAGUGAUGCAUUUGUUUCAAAACUAAUUGAAACAUAACUCUUAUUGAAAGAGUCAUGAAAGAGUUUUUCCGUUCAAAUCCUAAGCCCAAGAAGCUUCGUGCACUUUUUUGUUUCACAAAACAACCUUCCAUAUUUUCUCUAAUGGCUCGUCUUGAAUUCAAAUUAUUGCAAGUGCUAGUUGUAGUCAUUCCUCGUAAUUUUGAAAUUGUCACUAUCCCGGACAAAAUUGGGAACAUGAGUUGCUUGCACUAUCUGAGGUUGGAGAGGCUUUUUAUUAAAGAACUGUCAAAUAGCAUUGUCAAGCUCAAAUGUCUAGAGACACUAGAUGUUAAAAGGACCAACAUAAGAAAUAUUCCUUCGGCUGUUUGGGAGUCGAAACAAUUAAGACAUCUUCUUUACGGAUUCGAAACAGGUGAAUAUUCUGGGUUCUUUACUAAUAUAAGCCCAUUUUGCCCAAACAACAAGUCCUCACUGCCUAAUAAUCUACAAACUUUGAUGUAGCUGCCUGAUAGAUUUUUUCAACCGAGAUUGUUGCACCGAUUGACCAAUUUGAGACAAAUGGGUAUACAAGAAGUACCCGAUUCUAUCAUUAAGCUAUUAUCAAUAUCGAGCCCUGUGCCAAUUAUGCUGCCAAACACGCUGGAAGUUCUAAAGCUGUAUUUUUCCGGUCACACGAAGGAGCAAAUAAACUUGUCGUGCUAUCAAAAUGUUGUCAAGUUGCAUUUGUUUCAUCUCAGAAUGAUGCCUAACAACUCUGUAGCAUUCCCUCCAAAUCUUGUCAAGACUACUCUUGUCCACCUUAUGGUAGACAGUCAUCUGCUCUCAAUGAUUAAGAAAUUGCCCAAAUUAAAGAUACUCAAAAUGAGGCGCUGCAGAUAUGAUGAAGGGAAAAUGGAUCUCUCAGGCGAUGUGACUGGUGAUAGCUUUCCGCAACUUGAAGUCUUGCAUUUUGUGGAAGCAUCUUGGUUGACUGAAGUAACUUGCACGGAUGAUGUCAGUAUGCCUAAACUGAACAAGGUACUACUUGAAGUCUUCCCGCAGUCCGAUAUUAGGCUCUCGGAACGGCUUGCAAAGCUUAGAAUGUGAAAAUCCCAAUGUGACAUCAGGUAUGCAUUUGAGAAUGUGUAGCACCUAAAUCGAUUUUGAUUGCAAGUUGGAAGUUGGUAUAUUUGUGGCUUAUGAUUUGUAAAAGAAAUUUUGCAUGGCUAAACAACGUAAAUUCCAGAUUUUAGGUAGUUAAUUACACUCUUUUCUAGAUUUAUUAUUUAUGUUUUUCCUCUCCUGGAUUUUUAAUGUUCUUAUAUAUUAUAUUGUUGAUCGUUAGUAGACAUUACAA
Capsicum annuum is the source of this 1456-nucleotide long non-coding RNA. RefSeq lists it as uncharacterized. The transcript is spliced from 2 exons. The record is from RefSeq and is a predicted model, not a curated record. Lineage: Eukaryota; Viridiplantae; Streptophyta; Magnoliopsida; Solanales; Solanaceae.